CCUAUGGGAGGCAGCAGUGAGGAAUAUUGGUCAAUGGGCGGGAGCCUGAACCAGCCAAGUCGCGUGAGGGACGACGGUCCUAUGGAUUGUAAACCUCUUUUGUCGGGGAACAAAGGCGCCCACGGGUGGGCGGAUGAGUGUACCCGAAGAAAAAGCAUCGGCUAACUCCGUGCCAGCAGCCGCGGUAAUACGGAGGAUGCGAGCGUUAUCCGGAUUUAUUGGGUUUAAAGGGUGCGUAGGCGGAUUGAUAAGUUAGAGGUGAAAUGUCCGAGCUUAACUCGGGAACUGCCUCUAAUACUGUUGAUCUAGAGAGUAGAUGCGGUAGGCGGAAUGUAUGGUGUAGCGGUGAAAUGCUUAGAGAUCAUACAGAACACCGAUUGCGAAGGCAGCUUACCAAUCUAUAUCUGACGUUGAGGCACGAAAGCGUGGGGAGCAAACAGGAUUAGAUACCCGUGUAGUC
Molecule: ribosomal RNA, 460 nt
Filed under: uncultured bacterium
Lineage: Bacteria
Description: partial 16S ribosomal RNA
Rfam family: Bacterial small subunit ribosomal RNA
Source: RNAcentral